UUGGUUUGCCUAAACUAUGCCCCGGCACAGCUUUCCCCCAAUAGGGGUGCAACCCCAUGAUACUGUAAAAAAAAAAAAAAAGAGUAAGUACACUGAUAAAAAAAAACACAUCCUGUAGAAAUUUCAUAUAAAGCUACCUAGAGUAGAAAAGUGGGUUUGACCCUGAUACCGAGGAUACAUAUCAAGAGAAUUUCCUACCUCCCAAUCCACUAGGGCAAAAAGUUAAGAAUCUUUCCAAGAACCAUCAUGAGAUUUGCCCUAGAUGAUUAGAAGAGGAGACUUAGCUCAAGCAAAAACAUAAUACCAACCCCUAAGAGGGGAGCCUUUAUCACCUGAAAAGCUCAUUCGUUGGGGAAAAGUUGUGCCAGGGCACAGUUCAGGCAAAUCAAUAUAUAUCUCAAGAAAUGAUGCAAUGGUAACCUAAUGCCAUAACGAAAAAAAAAAUCAAGAUGAAAGGUAACAACCCUACGAGGAUGUUGGCUGGCGAGCUCACCAAUUUGCGAUUUUCUAAGUUCAACUAAACUUGGGAUUUCAUAUUUGACUCUAAAAGAUGAAAUGGACUUUUCAGAAAUUGUAUUCCCCAUCUCAUCGAUGGACCAGUCGGUGCUAGAUUGGAGGUUAGUUUAGUUAACGGGAACAAACAAUGCAGAAAUAAAAUUUAGAACAAGGGGUGGUUGGUCGGAUGAUAUAUGAUAGUAAUCACAUCAUCUUCAAAGUAUUCAUGCUAAAAAGAAUUAGAGUUAUUUUCAUAAUCAGAAGACAUUGAAAUUUCUAAAAAUAGAGAGAAAAGAAAAGACACUCACCAAGGAAAGUGAAAGCCAAAAGAUUGAAACUCCACACGAUGGGCGAAUGGUGCAAAGGAUGGUUUAUAUAGAAAUGGGUAGAAAGAGAAAUAAUUUGAGCUCUUAUGAUUCUGGUUCUGGUGGAAAAAAAAAACUAAGAGCUGGGGAGCAACUGUUGUAGAAAAUAUAAAAAACCAAUAAAGGUAUGCGGUAAAAAGGGACGCUCCUUAAGAAUAAAGAGCAUAUUGAGAGUACGCUCCCAAUAAUAAGGAGCAAGAGUCAUGCUCCUUAAGAAGUAAAACCAUGCUCCUCCAAGAAUGGAGAGUUAGGAACUAUCUCCCCCAAGAAUGAGGAGCAGGAGUCAUGGUUCCUAGGAAUGGAGGAUAGCAAGAUUAUAACUCAUAAGGGGCCCUUGACCUAGUUUUAGAUUAUGGACCACAAAGAAAAAAAUCAAGUCUAAAUAAAGGGGAUAUUAUUGAAUCAAGCCCAGCAAGAUAAAAGUCAACAAUGGAGGACAUUGUUUGGUCCAGAAGUAAAUUAAAUAAAAUUUGACACGGGUAUAACCUAUAAAAAAAAGAUAGAGAUAUUUUGUAAUUCAAAUCUGAGGGGAUAGAGGAGAAUUAGGUAGAGUUUAAGUUAGAAAAUGAUUUUAUUUGUAGAACGCUAUAAAGGCAAAGGUCCUGAUUGGAUGGGGACGAGCACUAAAUAAGUAGUAAAGAGAGGGAAAGUUGAAUUGUAAUCACGAUCUUAAUAAAAGAUUUAUUUUCUCUCCGAAUCACGUUAAUUCACUGUAUCUUUUUAUUAUAUCCCUCCAUCUAAAUUAAUUCUCUAGUUGACUGAAAAUUUGCAUCAACAAGAAGCAUUUUUUUAACUUAAUGAUUUAAUUGACUUAAUUUUAAUUAGUUAAGUUGUUAAGUUUAUUUGUUUCUUUAGCUUAAUAAAAGUUUUCUAUCAUUAAGCCACUAAAUUAUUAAGUCAGCUUUUAGCUUUUUGUUUAAUUUAAAGUUUGAAUGACAUCAAUCAAAAGAUAUUCUUCAAAAUAUUCCUAUUUAAUUAAUUUGUUUUAUCCUAUCUAAAUAAAACUUACUGAUUAACAUUAAUAUUUUUCUCCAUAACUUAUGAUAAUAUAAUAACAGAUUAUUGUUAUAUUAUUUUUUUUUAUAUUCUUCAAAUUAACAUUAUUUAUCUUUACAACUUUUUAUGAAUACAUUUCAUACAGUAUAUCAUAAAACUACAAUAAAAUUGAUUAAUAUAUUCUAAUUAGAAUAUUAAAGGAUUAUAAUCACUUGAACAUAAUUUUUGUUAUGUUAAAAUAACAUUGUAAUUAUGUUCGUUGAGAUAUUUAUUAAUUAUUUAACACUUAAAAUUUAUAUUUUCAUACUUGUUAGCUGGAAAAUAAUUUAAUAGUUAUUAUUAGAGAUUCAAACUAAAAAAUAAAUAUGUCAAUUUAAGAGAAAAAAAUAAACGUCACCCUAGUGAAAAUGCACAAAAAAUUACUGUGUAGAGCACUUAUAUGGCUACUGAUAUGUCCCUUUGAAUAGAUUUAGCAGAUUGAGCCGAAGUCUUCUUAAAGCACUAAUGGGCUAGAAAAAAGUCGUGUUUCAACUUCUCAUGGUUCUAACGAAGAACAACUACAAACAGACCUAAGAAAAAAAAGAUAGAAUAAUACAUUACACACACAUACGUGAACUCUAAUAUACCACAAGAUAAAAUACAUUGACUUAAAAUAUGUGUUUUGUUUAUCUUUUAGUUGACACACACACACGAGAGAGCCACACUCAAAGAGUAUAGUGUGAGAGCCGAGAGACUCUCUGUAACAAAGGACUUCUCUAAUAGUUAUUAUUAAUUCUCUAGCUUAUAUUAAGUUGUUGUCUCUAUAAAUCAUAAUUCAAUCCUUUGUUCACUCUUUAUAUCAAUAAUUAUUGGGGCCAAUGCUUAUGUAUUUGCAUAUAUUGGCUAAGGCAACUAUGAUCUAGGUUUGCAUUAGGAGUUGAAGUGUCACUUUUUAGAAUAGAAUACUAGUUUGCUUUUUUAUUACAAAUUUUCCAUCAUUUUACAGGAAACAGCCGAUUACAAUGCUACUUUGUUUUAAGGCUUAAAAAAGCAAGCCUGUUGAGAGUGGGAUUGGAACCCACGCCCUUUCGGACCAGAACCUUAAUCUGGCGCCUUAGACCAACUC
RNAcentral lists this long non-coding RNA (2961 nucleotides) under Citrus x clementina. RNAcentral describes it as "Citrus clementina (C. clementina) long non-coding RNA (CCLE_LNC001975)". Lineage: Eukaryota; Viridiplantae; Streptophyta; Magnoliopsida; Sapindales; Rutaceae. The record is from RNAcentral.